AAUUUUUUUGAGCAGAAUUUCUGGCAAAUUUUGCAUGGGCUAUAAUUUUGUUAUAAUUUCAAUCAACAUGGAAGUAAUUAAUAAUUGACAAAAUAGUGACUUCUAUUUCAACAAGUUGUGACUAUGAUCAGAGGGCAGCCAUUAUUGAAUCGUUUUUGUGGGAAAAAUGCCAAAGGAAAUCAUUGCAUAGCUUGGCUACAAGAAGUAGAGAGAUUUAGGGAGUCUAGCACGGAGAAACUUACUCCUGACUCAGCCAAACACAGAAAGCGAUCUGAUUGCAAGAGGAGUGACGAGGUUGUCUCCGAAUUGGAGGAGACGAUCAACCAGAAUCCACGGCAGAGCAUGGCUGACUUGGCAAAAGAAAUGGGCAUGGCAAGGUCAACAAUCAGU
RNAcentral lists this long non-coding RNA (390 nucleotides) under Androctonus crassicauda. The record is from RNAcentral. Lineage: Eukaryota; Metazoa; Arthropoda; Arachnida; Scorpiones; Buthidae.